GCGCGCCUGCGCACUUGCGGCGCGCUGCGCGAGGCUGGCGUGUCGCGUCUGCGCGCUGCGGCUCUCCGGAACUUCCUCUCGGAGACUAGAUGAGUCAGAGAAGGUACGGGCGAAUCCGGCCGUUCUCGCGAGAGCCGAGGAGCGCGGCGGGAGUUGCGGAUGACAGGCCGUGACGCGGGCGGGACUCGCGCAGCCUCAGACGCCUAAGCCGGUGACGUGGACUGAGCUCCCGGGGUGGGUCCACGGCAGCUCGGGACGUUCGAGGAGACAGUUCCGAGGCGACAGGUGGGGGCCUUGAGAAGGACCCGGGGCCGUGGACGCUGGCUGCUGCUUCCGGCAUCUGGGACGGACAGGUUGAUGCAGGAAGUGGACUUCACAUCCCCGGAGCAGGCAUUGAGGAUGCAGGGAAGAGAACCAAACCCUGAAGGAAAGAGUGACUAGUGAGCAGAAAGGACAGAGGCCAGCAUGUGAGCGGAUGGUGAGCAGAAGAGUGAGGGCUUUUUAGGAAGCAACAGGUGCUUCACACAUGCCAUUUGGUUUCAUCUCUAUUUACAGUGGGAGAGAACGAAGGCUGGUCAGCCAGCUAACCAAUGGAAACUAGCCUAAGAGCAGAACCUCCACUCAGAGGCUCCACAGAAGCAAGGCUGGAGUUCACCACCUUUAUCUUACAAAGAUCAAGUCACAGACAUCUGAAUAGAUGCCUGGAUUCUGCCCAUCUAGAAACUUUGCUAUGUUGUAUUUUGCUCCUAGAUGUUGAAGUUUGUCACAUCAUUAUUGCAAUGUAGACUGAUUAAAUUGGGUCUAAACUUGA
Long non-coding RNA from Jaculus jaculus (lesser Egyptian jerboa), 811 nucleotides. RefSeq lists it as uncharacterized. The record is from RefSeq and is a predicted model, not a curated record. NCBI's taxonomy places the organism in Eukaryota, Metazoa, Chordata, Mammalia, Rodentia, Dipodidae. The transcript is spliced from 2 exons.